AGCUACCACGCGCAAACGCCGGUUCCUGUGCGCCAUCCGCACCCACCUGACGACUGCUCGCUACGUUUUGUUAGCC
Molecule: small RNA, 76 nt
Filed under: Xanthomonas oryzae
Lineage: Bacteria; Pseudomonadati; Pseudomonadota; Gammaproteobacteria; Lysobacterales; Lysobacteraceae
Also listed under: 1 other name
Description: sX9
Rfam family: Xanthomonas sRNA sX9
Source: RNAcentral